UGGCCAAACCUGACACUGUCUUGCUGC
RNAcentral lists this non-coding RNA (27 nucleotides) under Homo sapiens (human). Lineage: Eukaryota; Metazoa; Chordata; Mammalia; Primates; Hominidae. The record is from RNAcentral.